RNAcentral lists this ribosomal RNA (301 nucleotides) under uncultured bacterium. RNAcentral describes it as "partial 16S ribosomal RNA". It matches the Rfam family "Bacterial small subunit ribosomal RNA", at positions 509 to 807 of the family's 1533-position model. The record is from RNAcentral.
CAGCAGCCGCGGGAAUACAGAGGGUGCGAGCGUUAAUCGGAUUUACUGGGCGUAAAGCGUGCGUAGGCGGCUUCUUAAGUCGGAUGUGAAAUCCCUGAGCUUAACUUAGGAAUUGCAUUCGAUACUGGGAAGCUAGAGUAUGGGAGAGGAUGGUAGAAUUCCAGGUGUAGCGGUGAAAUGCGUAGAGAUCUGGAGGAAUACCGAUGGCGAAGGCAGCCAUCUGGCCUAAUACUGACGCUCAUGCACGAAAGCGUGGGGAGCAAACAGGAUUAGAUACCCCUGUAGUCCCUGUCUCUUAUAC